UGGGGAAUAUUGCACAAUGGCCGGAAGUUUGAUGCAGCGACGCCGCGUGGAGUGUGUAGGCCUUCGGGUUGUGAACUCCUUUUUCUCGCGAAAAAGUCACAGUUUUGGCUGUGUUGAUGGUAGUGGGGGAAGAAGCGCCGGCUAACUACGUGCCAGCAGCCGCGGCAAUACGUAUGGCGCGAGCGUUGUCCGGAUUUAUUGGGCGUAAAGAGCUCGUAGGUGGUUCGUCGCGUCUGUCGUGAAAGCCAGCAGCUUAACUGUUGGUCUGCGGUGGGUACGGGCGGGCUUGAGUGCGGUAGGGGUGACUGGAAUUCCUGGUGUAGCGGUGGAAUGCGCAGAUAACAGGAGGAACACCGAUGGCGAAGGCAGGUCACUGGGCCGUUACUGACACUGAGGAGCGAAAGCGUGGGGAGCGAACAGG
RNAcentral lists this ribosomal RNA (421 nucleotides) under Fusobacteriota bacterium. RNAcentral describes it as "Fusobacteria bacterium partial 16S ribosomal RNA". It matches the Rfam family "Bacterial small subunit ribosomal RNA", at positions 355 to 776 of the family's 1533-position model. Lineage: Bacteria; Fusobacteriati; Fusobacteriota. The record is from RNAcentral.